CUUAAAGUAACUUUGUAAUCGCCUUUCCUUUUGCACCUUCUGUUCGUUUAGAGAUACCAUCUUUUAUUAGUAUAUCUACUUGUAUCUAUUUCUAACCUAAUAUUGUUUCUAUUCAGUUGUCAUCCCAAACCUGUUCCACCCCUCAUAUAAUCAUUCACACUUUUUUUUUCCUCCUAUCAAAAUUUCUCAAAAUAGAAUAUUCAGAUGUUUG
Molecule: non-coding RNA, 211 nt
Organism: Pelobates cultripes (western spadefoot toad)
Lineage: Eukaryota; Metazoa; Chordata; Amphibia; Anura; Pelobatidae
Source: the annotation of a GenBank genome assembly